GUCUUUAUAGUUAGAAUAAAGAAUGAAUUUCGUCCAUUGAUUAAUUGAACACGAAUGGUCGAGAUGUAUUAUGUUUCUAUAAGAUUUAAAUUAAUAAAAAAGGAUGAAAUUGGUUUUGCUGUUCGUUAAGGCUAUUUUCGUCCAUUUUUUUCAACGCAGAUUUGGGGAUAUCAGAUAUCCCUGAUUAUUCUCGAUUUUCAUAAUGAUUCUCUUUGAUUACAAUAAUUUGUAUUUACCUCUUCCACGUUCAGAAAUUUGAGAUUCAAAGAACUCUCUCAAAUCAAAAGAAAAGGCGGCGACGAUCGAACCAACGGCAGAAGAAACUUGAGGGCUCCGUGUCGCCUGAAACUUCUUUCUCGCCGGUGCUAUUCUUCGAACUCGAAGCGGCGGCGGAAGAAACUUGAGGGUUCCGUUCCUCCUGAAACUCUUUUCUCGCCAGCGAUAGUCUUCGAAUUCGAAGCGACAGUGGAAGAAAUUUGAGGGUUCCGUGACGCUUGGAACUCCUUUGCAAUAUUUUUCUGUUUCACCAUCAGCUUUCCUUCAAUGAAUUAAGCUAUGGAUCGCAGGGGUGAGGGAGGUGGACUCAAACGUGCCGAACGCAGGGUCCAAGAUCGUUUUGAGAAAAUCAGAUUGGGUAUAUGUAUAGCUUGUAUAUCAUUAUUGUCGUAAGUACAUUAUAAUUUUUGGAUUCUUCAGGUGUGGAUGGUGACUUAUUGUUGAUGGGUUGAUUGUUGGAUUCUCCAGGUGUGGGAGGUGACAUGUUUGGGAUGUUUAUGUUAUAUUUUUUUUAAGUGUUUGUUUUCAAAUAAUUUAGAUAAUGCUUUUGUUUUA
Molecule: long non-coding RNA, 831 nt
Organism: Salvia miltiorrhiza (redroot sage)
Lineage: Eukaryota; Viridiplantae; Streptophyta; Magnoliopsida; Lamiales; Lamiaceae
Exons: 2
Source: RefSeq, a predicted model, not a curated record